RNAcentral lists this unclassified non-coding RNA (215 nucleotides) under Hevea brasiliensis (rubber tree). The record is from RNAcentral. Lineage: Eukaryota; Viridiplantae; Streptophyta; Magnoliopsida; Malpighiales; Euphorbiaceae.
AAUUUUGCAUACAAAUAUUUAAUUUAAUUGAAUUUAUAUCAUAUGCACUCGGAUUAGACUUCUAAGUGCAUUUGGUUCAAUAAACUAGAUUGAAAUAAAUAAAAAAAUUUUGAAGCUUUUGGUAAUUAACUGAAAAAAAUAAUAACAAGUGAAAAUUAAAUAAAAUAAAACAAAAGGGGGGGGGGUGGGGCCCUUUAUCCUUCUUCGUUGCAGAU